GUAGUCCACGCCCUAAACGAUGUCAACUGGUUGUCGGGGAAGCAAUUCCUUGGUAACGAAGCUAACGCGUGAAGUUGACCGCCUGGGGAGUACGGCCGCAAGGUUAAAACUCAAAGGAAUUGACGGGGACCCGCACAAGCGGUGGAUUAUGUGGAUUAAUUCGAUGCAACGCGAAAAACCUUACCUACCCUUGACAUGUACGGAACCCCGCAGAGAUGCGGGGGUGCCCGAAAGGGAACCGUAACACAGGUGCUGCAUGGCUGUCGUCAGCUCGUGUCGUGAGAUGUUGGGUUAAGUCCCGCAACGAGCGCAACCCUCGUCUUUAGUUGCUACCAUUUAGUUGGGCACUCUAAAGAAACUGCCGGUGAUAAGCCGGAGGAAGGUGGGGAUGACGUCAAGUCCUCAUGGCCCUUACGCGCUGGGCUACACACGUGCUACAAUGGCGGUGACAGUGGGCAGCAAACUCGCGAGAGUGAGCAAAUCCCAAAAAGCCGUCUCAGUUCGGAUUGUUCUCUGCAACUCGAGAGCAUGAAGGCGGAAUCGCUAGUAAUCGCGGAUCAGCAUGCCGCGGUGAAUA
This 577-nucleotide ribosomal RNA is filed under the name uncultured Nitrosomonadaceae bacterium. Its description in RNAcentral is "bacterial SSU rRNA". It matches the Rfam family "Bacterial small subunit ribosomal RNA", at positions 790 to 1368 of the family's 1533-position model. Lineage: Bacteria; Pseudomonadati; Pseudomonadota; Betaproteobacteria; Nitrosomonadales; Nitrosomonadaceae. The record is from RNAcentral.